This 16702-nucleotide long non-coding RNA is filed under the name Capsicum annuum. RNAcentral describes it as "long non-coding RNA (CANN_LNC016857)". Lineage: Eukaryota; Viridiplantae; Streptophyta; Magnoliopsida; Solanales; Solanaceae. The record is from RNAcentral.
AGUGUCUUGCCUAUGUGAAAUUGGGAUAACACCUGCCCUGCUAGUGAGGCCAACAGUUGGUUUGAUUCCAACAACUGAAUUAGCAUAUGCUGGAUAUAGAAUGGAGCCUGCUGUUUCUGUCCCCAAUGCUACCGCUGCAAGGUUUGCUGCUACUGAUGUUGCAGAACCAGUGCUUGAUCCUGAUGGAUUAGCACUUGCUACAUAAGGAUUCUGUAAUAACAUGAGUAAAAACACUAAAUUAUUACUCUUUUUAGUCAAAUUGUCCUAAAAAAAAGGCAAUCUGGUGAACGAAGCAUAUUUUGCAUUCAGGUAGAAUCCGUCAAUGCCAGCAACAACCUAAGAGGGUACGAUGUAGGUAGUCUACCCUGACACAAGCAUCAGUGACUCAUUCGCCGUCUCGAAAAUGUGAGGUCACACGAAGAAAGCUUUACCAUUGCUCCAACUUAAAGUAUUAUAUACUACUUACUUCGUUUCAAUUUGUGGCACAGUGUCUAAGAAAGUAAAAAAGAUUCUCGAAUCUUGUGAUCUCAAAUAAUGUACCAAAAUGUCCUUUAAUCUUAUGGCCAUAAACAUGUCAUGGGAAAAGUUGAAAUUAAAGAGUUAGCAGAAAAAGGAGACAUCUUAUUGUAACGGACGAAAAACAAAAGUAAGACAAAUAAACUAAAAGAGAGGGAGUAGUUUUUUUCCAGAUCAUAUACUACUUUAAAUCUUUGUUUCUCUUUCAUUCCUAUCUUUUGCAUCUUAACUAAUCACAAAUUUUGCAAAAUAAAUCUAUUUUUACUAACCUGCUCAACUAUCCGAGUUAAACGACUUGAGUUAUGACCCCUUUUUUUGACUUGACCAAAGGGGUUAUGUUAGAGUUUGUGACCCGAAUUUUGUUGAUCCGGCCCUGAAAAGUUCACGGUGCAACCCAUGUUUGUGAUUUUUUGUGGGGUCUGUGGUGAUAGCGGAGGGAUAUUUUGUGAUUUGUUCUUCACUACCAGUGGCGCCACAAUAUUCUAUUGCUAAAGACAGGCCUAGGAGAGAUAUUAGACCUCCUUAGAAGUAUGGUGAAGCUGAAUUGGUUGCUUAUGCAUUGAAUGUAGCAGAAGGUAUUGAUUCCGGUGAAGAACCUUCUUUUUACUCAAAGGCAGUUAGUUGUGAUGAUUCUGGCCGAUGGAUGAUUGCUAUGCAGGAGGAGAUGGAAUCACUUCAUAAGAAUGACACAAGGGAUCUGGUUAGAUUGCCUAAAGAUAAGAAAGUUGUCCAUUGCAAGUGGGUAUUUAAAAAGAAAGAAGGAACAUCGGGAGUUGAAAAUGCUAGGUACAAAGCAAGACUAGUUGCUAAAGGUUACAGUCAGGUUCCAAGUGUUGACUUCACAGAUGUGUUUUCUCCAGUUGUAAAUCAUAGUUCGAUUUGAGCCUUAGUUGGUAUUGUGGCCAUGCACAAUCUUGAGCUUGAGCAGUUGGAUGUUAAAACUGCAUUCUUACAUGGAGAACUUGAGGAGGACAUCUAUAUGCAACAACCAGAGGGUUUUGUAGUCUCAGUCUAGGAAGACUAUGUAUGCUUGCUGAAAAAGUCUCUUUAUGGCUUAAAACAGUCGCCCAGAUAGUGGUAUAAGAGAUUUGACUCUUUUAUGACAGUAGUUAUGAUAGUUGUGUCUAUUUCAAGGAGGUAAAUGAUGGUUCAUUCGUGUAUCUUCUCUUGUAUGUUGAUGAUAUAUUGAUAGCAACAAAGGAUAUGAGAGAGAUAAUAGAAGUCAAAGUCCAGCUCAGCAAGGAGUUUGAGAAGAAGGAUCUAGGAGUAGCAAAGAAGAUCCUUGGCAUGGAAAUUCUGAGGGAUGGAGAGAAGUGUAAGUUAUACCUGAAUAAGACAAGGUAUAUUGAGAAAGUGCUUCACAGGUUCAAUAUGCAAAAUGCCAAACCUGUCAGUACUCUAUUGACAGCUCAUUUCAAACUCUCGGCUACAUUAUCCUCAAAGACAGAUGAUGAGUGUGACUAUAUGUCUUGAGUUCCAUACUCUAGUGCCGUUGGAUCUCUUAUGUACGCGAUGGUGUGUUCCCGAUCAGGUGUAUCAUCUACCGUUAGUACAGUUAGCAGAUACAUGGCAAAUUCUGGUAAAGAACAUUGGAAAGAAGUUCAGUGGAUUUUCAAAUACUUGCAUGAAUCUGCCGAUAUUUGUUUGUAGUAUGGGCGAUAUAGAGAUGGAGUGAUCGGGUAUGUUGAUUCUGAUUUUGCAAGAGACCUUGAUAAAAGGAGAUCCCUUAUAGGCUAUGUUUUCACCAUUUGUGGUUGUACUAUUAGUUGGAAAGCUACUUUACAGACUACAGUUGCCUUGUCAACUACUGAUGCAGAGUACAUAUUACAAAGGCUUGCAAAGAAGCUAUUUGGUUGAAAGGUCUGUUUAGUGAACUUAGCAAAGACUAACAAAUUAUUACGAUCUUUUGCGACAACCAGAGUGCUAUCUUCCUUAUAAAAGAUCAGAUGUUUCAUAAGAGGACAAAGCACAUCGAUGUUCGGUACCAUUUUGCGUGUGAGAUUAUUGCUCGUGGUGAUAUUGUGGUAAGCAAGAUUAGUAUCUAUGAUAACCCCGUUGAUAUGAUGACCAAGACACUACCAAGUGCCAAGUUUGAGCAUUGCUUGGACUUGGUUGGUGUCAGCAGUUAAGAUGUGCCCUGUUAGAUCAAUGAUGUUCUGAUGAUUGAUAUAUAAAUAAAUCAUGUUACUUUAGUUGGUCCAAUCACACGAAGACAGUCACUAAGGGAAGUAGAUGAGGUUCGUCAAAGCUUGAAUGGAUAAGUUCUAUUGAGUAAUCACGUGUGAUAAAGAAGAAGUUGUAGUUGAAUACAACAAUUUAUUGAUAAGCUGAAGAGAAAAAAGAGAAAGAGUUUUAAUCAAACAAGGAGAUCAAGUUGAAGAAGGAGUUUUACCAAUACAAGGAGUUGUACUAGAAGACGGACUUUGAGUUGACAACAAACUCUGUUAAAUUAAAGAGUCCAAAGCAAGGUAGAAAACCAAUGACUUUGAAGGACUCUUUGAAGAGUUGUUAUAUAUCAAGGGAGUAACUAAUUUCGUCACUCACGCACUUACAAAGAUAGCAGCACAUCAACGAAUUAGCAGUGAAGUUCCAAAUCUUGAAGCAGCCUGAGUUGAACCUGUUCCUAGUAUUUAGAGUUCGUGAGUCUUAGACAUUAUGUAUUAGAAUGGCUCUUAAGUUGUAUUGUUUUCUAGUCUCAGAGAAGUAUAAACUGAGUUAGGAGCAUUGUCUUCAAGUUGGGAACUCGAAGACUUGGGAACACUCACCUUGAGGAAGGGUUGUGUUUUUGUAGAAAUAUGAGUUAGAGUUUAAUUCCUAGAUUACAAGAGUCUUGUAAUUUAUUGAUUGUUGAGGCUCAACUGUUUUAGUGGAGUUGGGAUUAAAUCCUGUAGAGAGGUACAGGUCGUGGUUUUUUAUACCUCUUUGAGCCGGGCGUUUUCCACGUAAAUAUCAUUGGUUUUAACCUGUUCCAUUAAUAGGCAACUGCUAGGCUAGAAUAAGUAAUCAGUAGGGCACGAACUCUAAUAUGACCUUAGGGGCUUUUGUGGAAGAGGUAAAGAGUUUUCUCGAAACGGAUUUGAGUUCUGAAUUAGAAUUCGUGUCAAGGUGGAGAUUGUUAGAGUUUGUGACCGGAAUUUUGUUUAUCUGAAAAGUUCGCAGUGCGACCCAUAUUUGUGAUUUUUAGUGGGGUUGUUUUUGGUGGUUUUUUACGUCAUUGAGACUUUCGUCUCCUCCUUAUACUCCCCUCCAUUAUAGUGAAUUUGGUUAGACCAUGUGAGGCGGCUUAGCUUAUGAUCCAUUAUGUGGCUCAUCAUGACCUGUUUGAGUGGAUCAAAUUCGACCCAACCCGCACAUUUACCACCCAUGAUGAAUCAAAACUAUAUAUAUUAGUAUUAACAUAUGACUCACCAGAGCUUGUCCAAGUCUUCCAUUCCAACCAUCAGGCAUCUUUGAAGAUCUAGAACCAGCCCACUCAGUCAUAGUUGCCUUGCCAAGUAUGAUAGCACCAGCAUUUCUCAACUUCUUGACCACACCAGCAUCUUGUGGCACAAUGGAUCCAACAAGUGCUAAUGAUCCUGCUGUUGUGUUAAGCUUAUCUUUUGUUGCAAUGUUGUCCUUGACAAGAAUUGGUAUACCAUGUAGCCUGCUGGACAGUAGCGCCCCCGAUUUUCGUUCUUGAUCAGCUUUAUCUGCAAGAAAGAGUGCAUCUGGAUUCACUUCUAUGAUCCCUUUUAUAAUUGGAUUAGCUUUCUGGAUUUCACUUAGAUAGAGCUCAACAAGUCGUCUUGAGGUAAGUUUGUUUUGCUUGAAAGCUAUUUGAAUAUCAUCUAUUGUUGUUUCCUUAAAUGAGAAUGUUUUUGCCUCAGUAAUGUUACUGUAGUUGGAUAAUAUCAUGCACUGAGAAAUGAAGGGAGUGGAAAGAACAGACAUUUUUGGUUGUCAAAGUGAUUGAAGAUACUUACGUCAACAUUAGCCACAAAAAAGUGGAUAAGGAAUAAAGAGUCAUGAUAGAGUUGUUUUUGUAUGACUUAUACGUCAUGAGCUGCGGAAACAAUUGUACGAGGGUAGACUACCUACAUACACACUUUUGGGUGUUGCCCUUCUCUAAAUUCUGUUGAUUAUAUAGGUCACGUGUUGAAGCAGGGAAUCAGUCACUAAUGCUUGUGUGAGGGUAGACUACCUACCUUACAUCUCUAAAUUCUGUUGAUACCGAGAUGUUUCAUGCAUCGAGCUGCAUAUUUUUGUAAUAGUGGAGAUGCAUAAUUAGAGCUGACCAUAAAGGUCUACUCCUUCCGAUCCCAAAUAUUAGUUGUUUUGACAAAGUAAAUUUGUUCCAAGAAAAUAAGAAAUUUACUUUCGAUUUUCAUCUUCCAAGUUUACCAUCAACACUUCAAUUCAAUUAUUGGAGUAUUAAUCAAGUGAGACGUUUAAGAGAGACAAAGGUUAGCCUAACAAAUACUUUUAUGAGUAAGGUUAUUAAAUAUAUACUUCUUCAGUCUCAUUUUAUGUGUUUUUUUUUUUAGUUCGUCUUAAAAAGAAUAUCACUUUUUCUUAUUUGGUAAUUAUUUAAUGACAUCAUUGUCAUUUUAUCCUUAGUGGAUCCUACUUAUUAAGAAAAAACAACUAAAAAUUAAACAAUAAAAGAGACAAUUUUGUAAACUUUACAAAAUUAUUACUCCAUCUGUUUCAUAAUAAAUGAAUUGUUGAAUUUUGACACACAGAUUAAGGAAAAAACAUUAAAGACAUAAAUUUAACAUAACUUUUCAUUUUUAUCCCAAAAAAAAGAAAAAGUUGACCUUGUAAUACCUUUUCAAAAAUUAAUUGAUUGUUCAAUGAUUCACUUAUUUUGAAACACUAAUAAAUAGCUCAACAAUUCACGUAAGUAAUUAUUUUUUUAAAUUCCAUGCUCGAUCAAAUAACAACAGAUAAAAUGAGACGAAGAUAGUAUUUUUUAAAUAGCGUGCCAAAAUUGUUAAAUACAGAUAAUAUGAAUCAAUAUUAUAAUAUAUGGAGAGGAUGGCCUGUUGAAAGAUAAGAUGCUUUUAAUGUGAUUUGACAGAUUUAUUUCCAAAAGAUCCAAAAUCCAAAUGCCUUUGUGGGUCCACUAAUCACUAUCAGACUAUUUUUUCUAUAAUACUCUUUCAGGGAAAGCAUAUGUUGCAAAUGACAAAUAAUUCAGAAAUUAUAAUUGUCAUGAUUGGUAAGUCUAUUCUCCUAGUUAAUUGAUCAUUACUACAUGCUAAUCAAUAUAUAUAUAAGUUGAAUGUAGAUCCGGUGAUGUGGCAUUCUUUAGAUUUUCCUUAUCUUCAGCUAUCUCAUUUAAGGAAUCAAUUAGUGCAGAGGCAAGAGAUCUUAGCUUGUUGAGGGAGUAAUCCUUCAUAUUCUCUUUAAUAUCUAAGAGAGAUGAAGGUCUACUUUCAUUUUUGUCUAUGUCUGCCAUCAACACAGGAAGUCCAUCAGAGGCUCGCACCAUUUUUUAUUGCCGUACAGGAAAUGUCUUUCUUUUGUUCAAACUCAUUUGAAUCACUUGAUGAAUCAUUCCACCAAGCUGCAAGCAUCUGACUGGCAAUUUUGUCAGCCUCAGUUUCCAGCUGCACUUCUCGGUGACCUUCUGCUUCCCCUUUUUGGACACCUCUUCAGAUCUAUACAAGUCUUCGAGAAACUUUUUUGCAAUCCGAGCUGUUUCACUAAUUUUUGAGGUGUAAGUAGCUUGUGAAGCCUUCAUUUCUCUGGAUCCUUUUAACGUGUUAGCCUGAUCACGGAAAAUCUGCUCUGAUAUCAAAUGAAAGGAUUGGGGGUGGGUUGGUUCUCGAUUCAGGGAAUUGUUCCCAGAAUCACACACGCAAUAAGAACCAAGAGGAAAAUGCAGUAAGUAAUGCAGGAGUACAAAAGGUAAAGACACUAGGAUUUUUAUAUGCAAACUCCUUGCCUGCCUCCAGGAUUUUUAUAUGCAAACUCAUUGGUUGAGUCAAAAAGAUUGCAACAACUUUUCACCUAACUUUUGUACUAUGUGUCAGCUGAAAAGUUGAUUGUCACAGUGAUAAGUGUGCCCAAUUUGUUCUAUAAUGCGUAGAGGCCUUUGUCGUCACAACAAAAACUUCAAGGAACAUAUUACAAACUAUGAAUUUGUCAAUCAUCAAAACUAAUAACACUUAACCUAUUUAAUUAUUUUUUUAAAAAAUAGAAUUUACAUAUGUGAAAUUUCCAUUUAAAAAUAAAAUUCUGAAAAGUAAAAAAUAUCUCUUUAAUAACCGUUUUAUAAUUCCCUUAAAAUUAUUAUCUCUUCCUCCCCUUUCUCAUCUUUCUUCUUCUUUUCACUUUAUUUCCAUAAUUUUUUUCAUAAAUCACACAUUAUAAUUUAGGACUUGACAAUCAAAAUUGUAUGAAAUGGAAUUACUAUUGUAUUUUAUAUUCACAUUUUAUUUUUGUUUUGUCUUUAAAAAAGAAAAAAAAGGAAAAGCAAUAAAGAGGAACAAAAGAAAGAAAAAAUAAAAUAAACUAAAAUAUCCUGAUAUAACAAGAAACAGUAGGUAGAAACAAACAACAUAUGACUUAUACUAAGGUGUUCUGAUAUAUGUCUUAUUUGUGAUUAUUAUUAAUGAGAAGAGUUAAUGAUCAAAAACACAUCUGAACUAUUGAUAUUUCGCGAGUUUCACAUUGCAAUAACCAGUUGUUCCCUUUUCCGAUCCGAGCUAUCACCAUCGUCCAGGCAGGAAAAGGGAACAACUUACAGUUCAUGAGGUGUAUUUUAAUAUAUAUAGAUGGUGAUAAUUCGGGGUGGAAAAAGAGAACAACCGAUAGUUGGGUGUGAAACUCGCGAAAAUGAUAGUUCAGGUGUAUUUUUGACCAUCAAUAAGCAGAAUGCAUCUGUAAUUGACGACUAGCUAUGAUGCGAAGAUAGAGGCUAAACAUGAAAUUCCUCGGGCAUAACAUUUUCAGUAAAACAAGAAAUUAGGAGAAGUUACUAACUACAUGAGCAUCAGGAAGAUGUGUAAUGUGUUGCAGUUGAGGACAGUGAACAUGAAACAAGAAUCACAUUUCCAUAACAUAACAAUUCUCAAUAGUAUGAAUCUUGCUAGAUAUUAACUAGAGUGGCCAGAAGAUAUAAAAGUUCAUCGAUAUUACUAUAUGAUUAUUUGUCUGUCAACAUUUUGCUCUGGAAUGCUGUACUUGAUAACGAACACAUCAUUUCGGAUGUGCAUACAUUCUAGAUCGAGUCGAAUAUGUAAUUCUUAUCGAGGAUGUGAAGGAGGGGGCUUCCUGAUAUGAGUUGCUUGUUCAAAACCAUAUGCAAUCUCGAUGAGUGUUGGCUCUGAACCCUUCAGUCCUCCAAAGGAAAUUCCAACGGGAACUCCACUUUUAUCAUAACCAGCAGGUACAUUGAUCCCUGGAUAACCUUCGAUCGCGAGAAGACUAGCAAUGUCUGCACCAGGUGACAUCAACGCGUCUAGCUUAUUAACUUUUAUCAUCUUCUCAAACCCGUAUUUGCAUACUUUUGUUAUGUUCCUCAGUGCCUCCCUUUCCAAUUUCCCUAUUCCAUUCGUCUUCUCAGCUGCCAUCAUUAUGCCUUGACCAUAUUCUUUGAACUUUUCCUACAAUAAUAUAUAAGAAGAACCAAUCGCUUAAACUAAGAAGGGGAGCCUUGGAGUAACCGAUAAAGUUGCUACCAUGUGACCAGGAGGUCAUGGGUUCAAGCCUUGGAAACAACCUCUGGCAGAAAUGCAAGGUAAGGUUGCGUACGAUACGCCCUUGUAGUGGGGCCCUUCCCUGGACACCGCGCAUAGCGGUAGCUUUGGUGCACCGGGCUGCCCUUUUUUUUUUCAGUCGCUUAAACUAGAAAUAGCCCGUGGAUGUAUAAUAUAUGUAUGUAUAAUAUGUGAAUAACAGUGUGUAAUUUAUGUUUACCGGAAAAGAACAGUAAACAGUGCAUCCGUCCAGCUACUUUAAACAUCCCUAAAAAGAAUGAAAACAGAUAUAUCUCGAUUCUACUUCUAGUGACAUACAUAAGUUCAGCUAAUUUCAAUUUACAAGUGAAAGCUUUUAGUUCCUGCAAUAAUGUACUACAAACGAAUAUGAACAUACUGUUAACAAAUUAUUUAUGAACAAAGUAGUAAUGGAGUGGCUUUGGCGUGAAUACGACAGAAUGAUUACAUCGAUUCCUAUAACUAAUAUCAACUUUGUCUGAUAUCAAGGUGCAGUUAAUUGAGAUCGACUAGUACUUACCGAAGCUGAAAUCUUGUUAAAGGCUAUGACAUCUGCCAAGGAUCGGACUUGAGUAUGAACUAGCUUCUUAAGAUAUGCAUUUAGGUCCAUCUUGAAUUCAGCAAAAAGUGCUAUGUCUUGAGCAUUAACAAUAGCACUGUAGACCAAGUCGAUGUUAGGUACUUCGACGUUGUCAACUAAUACUACUCCUUUUUGCCUUUCCAGAAAAAAAGCUCAUCUCUAUUAGGAAAUUAAGUAAAACUAAACCAGAGAAAGGCAUAAAACAUAGAUAGACACCUUAACUUUCUGGCAACUGAACACUUUAACUUAGAGCAUGCACAUCAAUUAAUCUCCAUUGUGUUAGUUGAACACUUCAACUAACAAAAUGAUCAUCUAGAAGCCUCCAAAAUUUAUGUGACACAUCAGCAUCGGGAGUCCAUGAAACACAACGAGAACGAGUAGAGGUGUUUAGAUGUGCACUCCCUAAUAUGGAGUGUUUACUUUUCAGUUGAGACUAGUCUUUUAUCUUUGAGAAAUGCAGACGAAAACGGAAAGAUUACCUCAAGGUGUUGAAAUGGUGUUGGCAAGCUUUGAUAUCAUUGGAACCCAAAAGGUCCUUUAAAAUACCUAGUCUUUUAUCUUUGAGCCCAUCAGCCUUAAGAAAUUGCCGGUAUCCACCAUGUGGAAUGUAAGUAGAAGCCUUUUUAGUAGCUGGAAAAUCAUCUCAAUCGAUGCCAACAAUGACAUCAAGAACCUCAACAGCAUGAGAUACUGUCCUGCAGAUUGGUCUGUUCUAUGCAAAAAAACACAUUGUGUGAAGAGAUUUCGAAUGUCUUCUAUGUUCAUGUUUGUUACCAAGUUCGUUGCAUCUCUAACAAACCUACAAUGUCUAAAUUCAGGAUCUAAUAAGUAAUCCUAUUUUGCACCAUCAAUUUUCACUAUUGUUCAAAAAUCUAGCAUUAAACAGUUCUGCAAAGAGAAAAAAGAUCGAAAACUCCAUCCAUUCUAGUUCUAGUUUAUGUGAGCUAUUUUCUAUCAGCUAGUCUGUUCCAAAAUGAAUGACACAUUUCUAUAUCCGGAGUUUUACUCUAAAUUUCUCGUUUUACCCUUAAUAAGAGUUUCAAAAGCCAACACAAAAAAUGACUCUAAUGAAGGUUAAACAUUCUGUGUAGAGGAAGAAAGUCAUAAUAUUGUAGCUGCGCACGGUUAUUUUUGCCGAUUGAUCUUCCAAUAUGCUAAUUUAACGACUCUCGUUCAUUACACUUCUUCCUUGCUGCUUGACAUCUAGCUGAUAGUAGGUUUACCGCUUUAGGUGUCAACACUACAACUUUCAGUCUAAGUAGUUUCAGUUACAACCAAUCUAUAGUUGAUAUUCAAAGAUCGAGUAAUUAAUACAUGAACUUCCCCUUCUUUCUUAAAGUAUGCACCAAGUCAAACUAUGUUACAUACAUUGUGACGAGAGUACUACUAGAGGAGAAAAACAUUCAGAAGAUCUAAAGUCUGAACUUUUACGUACCCAACAGUGUCUUGCAAUUGUGAAAUUGGGAUAACACCUGCCCUGUUAGUGAGGUCAACAGUUGGUUUGACUCCAACAACUGAAUUAGCAUUGGCUGGAUAUAGAAUGGAUCCUGCUGUUUCUGUCCCCAAUGCUAGUGCUGCAAGGUUUGCUGCUACUGAUGUUGCAGAACCAGUGCUUGAACCUGAUGGAUCAGCACUUGCUACAUAAGGAUUCUGUAACAACAUGAUGAGUAAAAAACACCAGGUUAUUAAACUCUUUUUAGUCAAAUUAUCAAAAAAGGCAGCCACGAGGGGGUGUGCAUAGACAGUCUGCCCUGACGUAAGCCUAGUGGUUGAUUCCCCAGCUCAAACAUGUGACCUAUAAGUCACACAGAAACAACUUUACCAUUGCUCAAACUUAAAGUAGUAUAUAGUGUUUAAUACUAUUAUAGGCUUCUUCAAAUCUUUGUUUGUCUUUCAUUUUUAUAUUUUGCAUCUUAACUAAUAUCAUAGAGGCGGUAUCAUCAUUUUUUUUCACUAAUUUUCUCAAUCUAUAAGUUUAACGACUUGAGUUAUGACCUGUUUUGGGACUUGAAUUACUUCUUCAUUACUCUUACAUGCUUGACUUAGUUAAGCUGUAUUUAGGGGAAUCAUUUUUUCUCAAUCAAUAAAGAACGAGACUUUACCAAACAAGCACCGAUAUUGAUGAUAGUGACCUUGAUACGGAGCUGGAACUGCAGAGAGACUCUUCCUAUCUUAUUAGUCAAGCGCUAAUUUACUGACAAUCACAUGUUAUAAUUCACUAGUGGUAUAAAAUUCCUUAUACCGUCCGUCAGCAUAUAUAACUUAAAAUUUUUUUACCAAUGACUCACCAGAGCUUGACCAAGUCUGCCAUUCCAACCACUAGGGAUAUUCUCAGUUCUAAAAGCAGCCCAUUCAGUCAUAGUUGCCUUGCCAAGUAUGAUAGCACUAGCAUUCCUCAACUUCUUGAUCACACCAGCAUCUUGUGGCACAAUGGACCCAACAAGUGCUAGUGAUCCUGCUGUUGUGUUAAGUUUAUCUUUUGUUGCAAUGUUGUCCUUGACAAGAACUGGUAUACCAUGUAGCCUGCUGGACAGUGGUACCCCCGAUUUUCGUUCUUGAUCAGCUUUAUCUGCAAGAAAAAGUGCAUCUGGAUUCACUUCUAUGAUCCCUUUAAGAAUUGGAUUAGCUUUCUGGAUUUCACUUAGAUAGAACUCAACAAGUUGUGUUGAGGUAAGUCUGUUUUGCUUGAAAGCUAUGUGAAUAUCAUCUAUACUUGUUUCCUUAAAUGAGAAUGUUUUCGCCUCAGAUUUGUUCCUGAAGUUGGAUAAUAUCAUGCACAGAGAACUGAAGAGAAUGGAAAAAAGAGACAUUUUUUGUUGUCAAAGUGGUUGAAGCUAUCUACUUCAAUAUUAGUCACAUAAAAAUGGAUAGGGAAUAAAGAGUCUUGGAGAAAUGAUAAAGAGUUGUUUGUUUAUGACUUAUAGAUCACGUGUUCGAGCGGUGGAAUCAUUCAGUAAUGCUUGUGUGAGGGUAGACUACCUACAUUACACACUUUGGGGUGCGGCCCUUCUUUAACAAGAAAGCAAAAAAGAACUGAAUUCAUGUCCUCAACCAAAGAUCAACAGGCAGAAUACAUCUUUAUUUGACAACUAACUAUCACACCAUGAUAGAGGCUAAACAAGAAAUUCUUUAGGCAUAACAGUCAGUAAAAUAAGACACUGUGAGAGGUUACAAACUACAUGAGCAUCAACACAGCGAGCAGAUAGAAGUAUCACAUCUCAAUUGGACUACUAUUGUUUUUGUCGGAUUAAGAGAAAGAUGGAUAACAUAAUAAUUCUCGAAGGUAUGACUCUUGCUAGAUAUUAACUAGAAUGACUCGAAGAUAUAAAAGUUCAUCAACGUUAUUUUAUGAUUUUUUUUUUCCUUUUGUCAACAUUUUGCUCUGGAACGUUGUACUUGAUAAUUAACAAAUCAUUUCAGAUGUGCAUACAUUCUAGAUUGAAUCGGAUAUGUAAUCCCAAUGAGGAUGUGAAGGAGGGGGCUUUCUGAUACGAGUUGCUUGUUCAAAGCCAUAUGCAAUCUCAAUGAGUGUUGGCUCAGAUCCCUUUAGUCCUCCGAAGGAAGUUCCGAAUGGAACUCCACUUUUAUCAUAACCAGCAGGUACAUUGAUCCCUGGAUAACCUCCUAUCGCGAGAAGAUGAGCAAUGUCAGCACCAGGUGACAUCAAUGCGUCUAACGCCUUUUCCUUCAUCAUCUUCUCGAACCCGUAUUUACAUGCUUUUGUUAUGUUGCUCAGUGCCUCCCUUUCCAAUUUCCCUAUUCCAUUCGUCUUCUCAGCUGCCUCCAUUAUGUCUUGACCAUAUUCUUCGACUUUUUCCUACAAUGAUAUAUAAAAGGAAAGAAGAAAAAUCAACUUAGAUGGCCGCACAUCCAACCUCUUAAACUAAAUAUUGUUUGCGGAUGUAUAAUAUGUGUAUAAUCCACAUAUAACAUGUGUAUAACCGUGUAUAAUCUGUAUAUCGGCGAGGAACGAUAAGCAGUGAAUCCAGCCAACUAUUUAUGUAAAGUUCCCUAAAAAGAAUGAAAAACAGAUAUACUUCGAUUCUACUUCUACAGACAUGUAGUUCAGCUAAUUUCAAUUAACAAGUGAAAGCUUUUAAUUCCUGCAAUAAUGUACUGCAAACCAAUAUGAACAUAUUGUUAAAAAUUAUUUAUGAACAAAGUAGUACUGGAAUGACUUCAGCCCAAAUAUGACAGGAAUGGUUACAACAUUGUAUAACUGAUCUCAACUUAAUUUUCUAAUAUCGAGGUGCAGUUAAUUGAUUGACUAAUACUUACCGAAGCUGAAACCUUGUUGAAGGCAAUAACAUCUGCCAAGGAUCGGACUCGAGUGUAGACUAACUUUUUAAGAUAUGCAUUUAGGUUCAUCUUGGAUUCAGCAGAAAGUGCUAUGCGUUGAGCAACAACAAGAGCAUCUUGGACCAAGUCGAUGUUAGGUAUUUCCAGGUUGUCAACUAAUACUGCUCCUUUUUGCCUUCAAAUAUUUCCAAGAAAAAAAGAUGCAUCUCUUAUAGGAUUAACAUAAUAAAUCAAAAUCAAACAUGAUAUUUGGACACAAAAUAAUUACCAUUGACAACAAUCACGCACCAGAGGUUAUGAGAUAACUCUGACAAUGUGCUUGUAUAAGGCAUAAUACAUAAGCAUACACUCAAACUUGGUCUCAACUGGCAAGUAGGCACUCAAGCUUUGAGAGUGCACAUCUAGACACCGGAACUUGGUCUCAACUGGGAACUAAACACUCCAACUUGUCCCCACUGUGUUUCGUGGACACUAGACACUGACGUGACACAUAAAUUUUGGAGUUGUCUAUCAUUUUGUAAGUUAAAGUGUUCAGAAGUGACACAUAAAUUUUGGAGGUGUCUAUCAUUUUGAAAGUUAGAGUGUUUAAUUGACGCAAUGAAGAAACUAGUUGAGGUGUCUGGAUGUGCAUAUUAAAAGUUGGAGUGUUUAGUUGCCACUUGAGGUCAAGUUAAAGUGUCGAUCUAUGUACUAUGCCUUUAUAUAAGGUCUAGAGAGAGAACCUAGCUGAAACUAGUGAAAUCGUGAGGGCCCUCCCAUACGCCUAUCAAGUUGAGCCUACACUCACCGCCGGCUAUACAGGACCGGCCAAGCACAUAAAGUGCACGGUCUAAUAAUGAGUAAAACUAAACUAUAGAAAUAUAAGUACAAGUGAAAAGGAUUACCUAAAGGUGUUAAAAUGCUGUUGGUACGUCUUGAUAUCAUUGGAACCAAAAAGGUCCUUUGAAAUACCUAGUCUUUUAUCUUUGAGCCCAUCAGCCUUAAGAAAUUGCCGGUAUCCACCAUGUGGAAUGUAAGUGGAAGCCUUUUUAGUUGCUGGAAAAUCAUCUCGAUCGAAGCCAACAAUGGCAUCAAGAACCUCAACAGCAUCAGAUACUGUCCUGCAGAUUGGCCUGUUCUACGACAAAAAAGCAUUGUAUGAAAACAUUUUCGAUGUCUUCCAUGAUCAUGUUUGUUACCAAGUACUUGCAUUUUUGCUACUCUAAUGCAGCCUACAACGUCUAAAUUGUGGAUCUAAUACUAAAAACAAGUAGUCCUAUUUUGCAUCAUCAAAUUUUUCGCAGCUGUUCAAAACUCUGGCAUUAUAUAGUUCCACAAAGAGAAAAAAGAAUACUCCAUCCAUCCAAAAAGAAUGACACGUUUCCAUAUCUGAAAUUUUACUCUAAAUUUCUCGUUUAACCCUUAAUAAAAUGUUUCUAUAGCCACAUCAAUUCUAUAACAACCACAAUUUUCAACUUUCAAAAGCCAACACAAAAAAUGAGUCUUUUAGCGAAGUUAGCAUAUUUUGUCAAGAGGAAGAAACUUAUUACAUUGUAGCCGCUCAUGGUUAUUUUUGCUGAUUGGUCUUCCAAUGUGCUAGUUUCAAUGACUCUCUUUCGUUACAUUUCUUCCUUGCUGCUUGGCAUAUAGUGUCAAAUUUGUGCCGAAUGUCUCUCAAUGUUGAGAGUCUUGCCAUUAAAUAGAAAGUAUUCAAAGAUUACAUCCCAAAAAAUCCGCCUUUCCUGUCGCUACUAUCCCUUUGAAUCCGCUAUUGUAUCCCUUAUAAUCUGCUAUUCUAUAUCUUUGAUUACUACAUCAUAUCUCUAUAAUUACGAAUAUACUACAAUAUAUAAUUACAUUAAUAUAUACAAUAUUCACUAUUAAUUCAUGAUCUUUGAGUUGUCCAUCAUGCUAACAUAUAGUAGGUAUCUGGUUUACCGCCAGUGGCGGAGCCACAGCCAACGAAGGAUGGUCAGAUGAACACCCUUCGUCGAAAUUUUUUCUGACCAUCCUUCGUCGGAAUUUUUUUUCGAGUAUAUAGGUUAAAUAUAAUAUAGAAAUGUUGUUGCACGCCCUUGACAAGCUAGAGAAGCAUAGUCUAUGUGAAGAAAUGGACCUUGGGCCUAACUCAAUCUCAAAAGCUAGCUCAAGAGGUGAGGAUUACCCAAGUCCAUAUAAGCAAACCACUAGUCCAUUCCCCAACCAAUGUGGGACUUUUACCCACUCUAACAUUCUAGUGGUUAAGAGUGUGCAUUUCCGCAUCAACAACCCGGGUUUAAAUCUUGACAGGUGCAGCAGUGCUUUAUUUUCUUUGUUUUUUAAACAGUUCUUUGCCCAAGGAAAAAUAUAAACACCCUUAACCAAAAGUCUGGCUCCGCCACUGUUUACGGCUUUCGAUAUCAACACUAUGGUUUUCAAUCUAAAUAGUUUUAAUUUCAACCAAUCUACAGUUGAUAAUCAAGGGCUUUCCUUUCUUUCUUAAAAUACAUGCCAAAUCAAACUUUCUUAAAAUACAUGCCAAAUCAAACUAUGUCACAUAAAUUGUGACGAUUAAUUUUUACUUACCCAACAGUGUCUUGCCUAUGUGAAAUUGGGAUAACACCUGCCCUGCUAGUGAGGCCAACAGUUGGUUUGAUUCCAACAACUGAAUUAGCAUUGGCUGGAUAUAGAAUGGAUCCUGCUGUUUCUGUCCCCAAUGCUAGUGCUGCAAGGUUUGCUGCUACUGAUGUUGCAGAACCAGUGCUUGACCCUGAUGGAUCAGCACUUGCUACAUAAGGAUUCUGUAAUAACAUGAGUAAAAACACCAAAUACAUUUUUAGUCAAAUUGUUCUUAAAAAAAAAGGCAAUCUGGUGCACGAAACAUUCUGCAUUCAGGCAAAAUCCGUCAAUGCCAGCAACAUCCCAAGAGGGUACAAUGUAGGUAAUCUACCCCGACACAAGCAACGGCUCGCAAAUGUGAGGUCACACGAAGGUAGCUUUACCUUUGCUCCAACUUAAAGUAGUAUAUACACUAAAUUUGUUUGUGGCACGGUGUUUAAGAAAGUAAAGAAGAUUCUCCAAUCUUGUGAUCUCAAAUAAGGGGAAAGGACAUAAAUGUCACCUCGCCUAAAAUAUUUCCACUGAUAUAGGCAUUGAUUUGGCAAUUCCAAUAGAUAGCCAUUUAGGCUUUUCUGUCGCUGCGACUAUCCUUCUUUUUUUUUUUUUUUUCCUUAUUUAUUGUUUAAUUUUUAAUGUCAAUUAUUUUAUAGGUUACAUUCUCUUCCUUCCUAUUUUUUUUGUUUGUUUUUCACUAUUUUUUUUCUUCUCUCUUUUAAUGUUGUUAAUUUUUUUUUUUGAGAAAAGUCCACUCUGUCCACCUAUUUAUUUUUGUAGAUGCGAUCACGAAAAUAAAAAUAUGAAAUACAAGUCCACCCAUAAUGUUCUAUCUCUUUUCAUACGAGUUAACACUAUAGCGGCACUUUGAUUUUUUUUCUUUCUGCUCUCUCUCUUUUUAAUUAAAAAAAUUAUGGAAUGUUUGGAUAGUAAGGGUACAAGGUUUAAUAAAUUUUGUAUAUGCUUGCACAAAUUUUCACAAAAUUUUAGGUGAAGUUAAAAAAUUCACGAAUAACGAAUUACUAUAGAUGCU